This 460-nucleotide ribosomal RNA is filed under the name uncultured bacterium. RNAcentral describes it as "partial 16S ribosomal RNA". It matches the Rfam family "Bacterial small subunit ribosomal RNA", at positions 338 to 795 of the family's 1533-position model. The record is from RNAcentral.
CCUACGGGAGGCAGCAGUGAGGAAUAUUGGUCAAUGGACGAAAGUCUGAACCAGCCAAGUCGCGUGAAGGAUGACUGCCCUAUGGGUUGUAAACUGCUUUUAUAAAGGAAUAAAACGAGAUACGUGUAUCUGUUUGCAAGUAUUUUAUGAAUAAGGAUCGGCUAACUCCGUGCCAGCAGCCGCGGUAAUACGGAGGAUCCAAGCGUUAUCCGGAUUUAUUGGGUUUAAAGGGAGCGUAGAUGGGUUGUUAAGUUAGGUGUGAAAGCUUGAGGCUCAACCUUGGAAUUGCAUGUGAUACUGGUCGGCUAGAGUGUAGUUGCGGUAGGCGGAAUGCGUGGUGUAGCGGUGAAAUGCUUAGAGAUCACGAAGAACCCCGAUUGCGAAGGCAGCUUACUAAGCUGUGACUGACGUUGAGGCACGAAAGUGUGGGGAGCAAACAGGAUUAGAUACCCCAGUAGUC